GUGCUGUAUGAUAGAGAAGGGGGUUAGCACUCCUCUCGACAAGGAUGGAAGAGGCCCUCGGGCCUUACAGCACACAUAUGGUUAAAGCCUUGCCACCUUCUUUGUGACAUCUAACCAUAUAUAUUU
This is a small nuclear RNA of Echinops telfairi (small Madagascar hedgehog), 126 nucleotides long. The record is from Ensembl. NCBI's taxonomy places the organism in Eukaryota, Metazoa, Chordata, Mammalia, Afrosoricida, Tenrecidae.